Molecule: transfer RNA, 57 nt
Filed under: Mesabolivar sp. ITV1036I2
Lineage: Eukaryota; Metazoa; Arthropoda; Arachnida; Araneae; Pholcidae
Description: tRNA-Pro
Source: RNAcentral
UCUAAUAAUUUUUAAAAAUACCUACUUUGGAUGUAGGAAAUUCGAAAAUAAAAAUAA